This 100-nucleotide microRNA precursor is filed under the name Olea europaea subsp. europaea. Lineage: Eukaryota; Viridiplantae; Streptophyta; Magnoliopsida; Lamiales; Oleaceae. The record is from RNAcentral.
CAUGGCACCUGAUAUUGGCACGGCUCAAUCAAACUAAACGAUCCAAAUCUUUUGGGAAAUUUGAUUUGAUUGAGCUGUCCCAACAUCAUCGUUAGCCAAU